AUGCUUUUCUCAUCAAUACGUACCACCUGUUGUAGAUUCAAUGAAACCCACGUAAUUGAGUAUCUAUUUAGCUACUGCAAUGAACAAAAGUUUCAUAUCGCUAACAAAGUUUCAUCUACAAGGUUUUUCUUUUUUUCCCUUAUACCUUUUUUUUCCCCCACAGGGUUUAAAAAAGUUAGUCAUGAAACAAGUUAUUUUCUUUCAAUCUUAAUCUCUCUCGUGUAUGAAUAGUUUGAUUUAUUUAGAGACAGUUCAUGUUUCUCUUCUUGAAUUUUAUUUAGUGUCCAUCUGUUUUGGAACAAGUAAAGUCAAUAGAAAGAUUUCUAGUUCAAGUGCACAGUCGAGCUUUACAUUUUUUAUGAGCUUCAUUCUCUGUAUCUGAUAAUAAGCGUUGAAUUUUAUUUAUUUUUAAUAAAAAUUGCUGGAUCCUCCAAAUCUUCCUUACCAAUGCUGGUCAGUUAUGCUAAUGGACAAAAAAUUACAAUGAAGAAUCAGUUUCCAAUCAUUAGGUGUGAUCUUGUAAAUGCAUUUUGAAUCUAAUUUUAUUGCAUUUUUUCUCAUUAUGAAGGGGCGACCUGUUUCAAGUUGGCUGCUUGUAAUGAAAAAAUGUGUUUGUAUAAAUAUUGUUAAUACAUUCUGUUGUAAAAAAAUAAUCUGAAAUGUGUUUUUUUGAGUUCUCCGAAAAUUAAAUGUAAAACCCUUCAUUAGAUAGAUUUUUAAAAAGAUGACACCAAUUAGUCUUUUGGUGGAGCUACCAGAGUGUGCCAUUUUUCAAAGACUUUCAAAAACCUUUCUGAUGUUCCCCUCUCCCUCGCCAUGGGCGUAGGAAAGGGGGGUAGAGGGACCUGGCCUCCCCAGCAUUGAAAAUAGCAUCAUCUACCCCCUGCCCCCCUCCAGAAAUUCUGGAAGAUGGAAAAAACCCACGUGAUCUUGUUUAAUGUGGAGUUUUAAAUGAAAAUACCAUGUUCAUUCAGUUAGUAUUUUUUAACAUUUGUGUCACGGUAGCCUCGGAAUAUGUCCAAAUCUAGGUAAAAUUUAAAAAAAUGUUCCGAAUCUGUCGAAUACAACAGUUCGAAAGUAUUUAGUGAAGAAAAAUACUGAAGCAUGAUUUUCUUGCAGACAUUUUUGGAAGUGCGUCUUAAUAGAGAUAAAAUUUCAAAAAUUUUGUUAAACCACGUAACCUAAGUCGACUCAAACUCUGACCAUUUAGUCAACAAUGAAGCUUUGGUCGCGAAGAAAGUCACUCACAAGGCAAAACAUGACGUACCAGUCUUAGGAGAGGGGGAGUAAUUAUCCGGAAUCUAACUUAAAUUGCUGAACUUAUUUGACUAAUUGGAAACUGUCGGAUAAUCCAUGCCCCUUUGCUUUUUUCCGUGGAAUUUAGGAUUUACUUUUCCAAUGAUAUUUUGACGCCUAUGAAAAUGUCUGUAAUUUC
RNAcentral lists this long non-coding RNA (1435 nucleotides) under Bemisia tabaci. Its description in RNAcentral is "lncRNA ENSSSA3NGG003416". The record is from RNAcentral. Lineage: Eukaryota; Metazoa; Arthropoda; Insecta; Hemiptera; Aleyrodidae.